RNAcentral lists this transfer RNA (72 nucleotides) under Bos taurus (domestic cattle). It matches the Rfam family "tRNA". Rfam says of the family: Transfer RNA (tRNA) molecules are approximately 80 nucleotides in length. RNAcentral also lists the same sequence under 2 other names. The record is from Rfam by way of RNAcentral. Lineage: Eukaryota; Metazoa; Chordata; Mammalia; Artiodactyla; Bovidae.
UCCCUGGUGGUCCAGUGGCCAAGACUCUGUACUCCCAGUGUAGGGGCCUGGGUUCAAUUCCUGGUCAGAGAA